AGUAACACGUGGAUAACCUACCUAUAGGACUGGGAUAACUUCGGGAAACCGGAGCUAAUACCGGAUGAUAUUUUGAACCGCAUGGUUCAAAAGUGAAAGACGGCCUUGCUGUCACUUAUAGAUGGAUCCGCGCUGCAUUAGCUAGUUGGUAAGGUAACGGCUUACCAAGGCAACGAUGCAUAGCCGACCUGAGAGGGUGAUCGGCCACACUGGAACUGAGGCACGGUCCAG
Molecule: ribosomal RNA, 231 nt
Filed under: uncultured Staphylococcus sp.
Lineage: Bacteria; Bacillati; Bacillota; Bacilli; Caryophanales; Staphylococcaceae
Description: partial 16S ribosomal RNA
Rfam family: Bacterial small subunit ribosomal RNA
Source: RNAcentral